RNAcentral lists this ribosomal RNA (433 nucleotides) under uncultured bacterium. RNAcentral's name for it is "partial 16S ribosomal RNA". It matches the Rfam family "Bacterial small subunit ribosomal RNA", at positions 29 to 507 of the family's 1533-position model. The record is from RNAcentral.
AACGAACGCUGGCGGCAUGCCUAACACAUGCAAGUCGAACGAGACCUUCGGGUCUAUUGGCGCACGGGUGCGUAACGCGUGGGAACCUGCCCUUAGGUUCGGAAUAACUCCCCGACAGGGGUGCUAAUACCGGAUAAUGUCUUCGGACCAAAGAUUUAUCGCCUUUGGAUGGGCCCGCGUUGGAUUAGCUAGUUGUUAGGGUAAAAGCCUACCAAGGCGCCGAUCCAUAGCUGGUCUGAGAGGAUGAUCAGCCACACUGGGACUGAGACACGGCCCAGACUCCUACGGGAGGCAGCAGUGGGGAAUAUUGGACAAUGGGCGAAAGCCUGAUCCAGCAAUGCCGCGUGAGUGAUGAAGGCCUUAGGGUUGUAAAGCUCUUUUACCCGGGAUGAUAAUGACAGUACCAGGAGAAUAAGCUCCGGCUAACUCCGUG